AUUGGUAUCUACUUUAGUAUUCAAUAUUAACUUCUGGCGAAGUUAAACUGUCACAAAACAAAGACCCGUUUGGGUUGUAUGGUUAAGUGACUAAGCGUACACGGUGGAUGCCUUGGCAGUUGGAGGCGAUGAAGGACGUAUUAACUUGCGAUAAGCCUAGUCAAGCUAGUAAAAAGCACUUGAGACUAGGAUUUCCGAAUGGGGAAACCCACCUGCUUGCAGGUAUCGUUAACUGAAUACAUAGGUUAACGAGGCGAACGCGGAGAACUGAAACAUCUAAGUACCCGUAGGAAAAGAAAUCAACCGAGAUUCCGAUAGUAGCGGCGAGCGAAAUCGGAACAGCCCUUAAGCUUAUUAUGUGUUAAUGGAAGGCUCUGGAAAGUGCCACGAUACAGGGUGAUAGUCCCGUACAUGAAAACGCAUUUUAAGUGAAAUCGAGUAGGUCGGAGCACGUGAAACUUUGACUGAAUAUAGGUGGACCAUCAUCUAAGGCUAAAUACUCCCAACUGACCGAUAGUGAACCAGUACCGUGAGGGAAAGGCGAAAAGAACCCCUGUGAGGGGAGUGAAAUAGAACCUGAAACCGUGUACGUACAAGCAGUAGGAGCCCACUUGUUGGGUGACUGCGUACCUUUUGUAUAAUGGGUCAGCGACUUAUAUUUUGUAGCGAGGUUAACCGAUUAGGGUAGCCGUAGGGAAACCGAGUCUUAACUGGGCGAAUAGUUGCAAGGUAUAGACCCGAAACCCGGUGAUCUAGCCAUGGGCAGGUUGAAGGUUGAGUAACAUCAACUGGAGGACCGAACCCACUAACGUUGAAAAGUUAGGGGAUGACCUGUGGUUAGGAGUGAAAGGCUAAUCAAACCGGGAGAUAGCUGGUUCUCCCCGAAAUCUAUUUAGGUAGAGCCUCGGACGAAUACUUACGGGGGUAGAGCACUGUUAAGGCUAGGGGGUCAUCCCGACUUACCAACCCUUUGCAAACUCCGAAUACCGUAAAGUAAUAUCCGGGAGACACACGGCGGGUGCUAACGUCCGUCGUGAAGAGGGAAACAACCCAGACCGCCAGCUAAGGUCCCAAAGUCAUAGUUAAGUGGGAAACGAUGUGGAAAGGCCCAGACAGCCAGGAGGUUGGCUUAGAAGCAGCCAUCCUUUAAAGAAAGCGUAAUAGCUCACUGGUCGAGUCGGUCUGCGCGGAAGAUGUAACGGGGCUAAACUAUGCACCGAAGCUGCGGAUUCAAAAUUUAUUUUGAGUGGUAGGGGAGCGUUCUGUAAGCGGUUGAAGGUGUACCGGGAGGUAUGCUGGACGUAUCAGAAGUGCGAAUGCUGACAUGAGUAACGAUAAUGCGGGUGAAAAACCCGCACGCCGGAAGACCAAGGGUUCCUAUCCCAUGUUAAUCAGGGUAGGGUAAGUCGACCCCUAAGGCGAGGCCGAAAGGCGUAGUCGAUGGGAAACGGAUUAAUAUUUCCGUACUUGGUAUAAUUGCGAUGGGGGGACGGAGCAGGCUAAGCAAGCAUGGCGAUGGUAGUCCAUGUGAAAGUGUGUAGGCUAG
Molecule: ribosomal RNA, 1546 nt
Filed under: Pseudoalteromonas sp. DSM 26666
Lineage: Bacteria; Pseudomonadati; Pseudomonadota; Gammaproteobacteria; Alteromonadales; Pseudoalteromonadaceae
Description: bacterial LSU rRNA
Rfam family: Bacterial large subunit ribosomal RNA
Source: RNAcentral